RNAcentral lists this transfer RNA (65 nucleotides) under Coboldia fuscipes. RNAcentral's name for it is "tRNA-Leu". Lineage: Eukaryota; Metazoa; Arthropoda; Insecta; Diptera; Scatopsidae. The record is from RNAcentral. RNAcentral also lists the same sequence under 1 other name.
UCUAAUAUGGCAGAUUAGUGCAAUGGAUUUAAGCUCCAUAUAUAAAGAAAAUUCUUUUAUUAGAA